Molecule: small nucleolar RNA, 74 nt
Filed under: Mustela putorius furo (domestic ferret)
Lineage: Eukaryota; Metazoa; Chordata; Mammalia; Carnivora; Mustelidae
Description: Small nucleolar RNA SNORD112 (ENSMPUG00000022682.1)
Source: RNAcentral
UGGGUCAAUGAUGAGAGUAUGUUAUGAACCAAAUAUUGUGAUCACUUCAGUUCUACAUAAAACAAAGUCACUUC